Non-coding RNA from Aegilops tauschii subsp. strangulata, 5468 nucleotides. Lineage: Eukaryota; Viridiplantae; Streptophyta; Magnoliopsida; Poales; Poaceae. The record is from RefSeq and is a predicted model, not a curated record.
ACUCGUUCUCAUCCCCAAGAAAAAUGCGCCGCCUUUUGCCUUCGCCGCCGGAGAGCACCUGCUGCUCCCUUCUGCGGCUGGUGUAGCUCCACGCGGAUCUGCUGCGCGCGGGGGCGGCGCGCCGGAGGAGGAUCUCCCAUUCCCGGCGGCAACUCGACGGAGGAGGAGUUGAGCUGCCGCGCGCGGAGGCGACGCGCCGGACGAGCUGAAAUGCUGCUCCUGGAGGCGACGCACCGGAGGAGGAGCUGAGCUUCCGCUCCUGGGGGGCGACGCGCUGGAUCGGCGACCCAUCUUUCUCGCCGCCCAGAUCUGAACGAGCAGCGCAUCCAUCCAUCUCAAAGCAAAAGAUAGCAAGAUCAAUGGCAAUGGUGCUGGAUGCAUUUGCAUCCUACGUGGGGCACAUGCUUGCGCAGGUAGCAGCAGAUGAGGUGGGGAUGAUGCUGGGCAUCUCAGGCGAGAUCAGCAAGAUGAGCGACAAACUUCGGGACCUCAAGAACUUCUUGGCUGAUGCCGAUAGGAGGAACAUCACCGAUGAAACCGUCCGGGAGUGGGUGGGGCAGCUCAAGCGUGCCAUGUACGAAGCUGCUGACAUCCUCGACCUCUGCCAGCUCAAGGCCAUGGAGCGUGGAUCAUCCUCAGCAGAUGCAGGGUGUUUCAAUCCCUUGCUCUUUUGCAUGAGGAACCCCUGCCAUGCUCAUGAAAUCGGCACCCGCAUCAAGAAGCUCAAUAAGAGGCUCGACUCCAUCAAGGAGCGGAGCGCUGCUUUCAGCUUCAUCAAUCUCAGGUCCUAUGAGGAUCAUAGCAGCAAUGCCUACGCCUCUCGCCAUGGUAAUCCAAGCCGGGAGACGGUGGGGGACUUUGACCGGUCGGCUCUGGUUGGGGAGAAGAUUGAAGAAGACACGAGAGCACUGGUGGCUCAGAUCAUGCAGAUGGGAAAAGAGGUCAACGAUGACAUCAUGGUGGUCGCCGUUGUAGGUAUCGGUGGGAUUGGCAAGACCACCCUUGCCCAAAAGGUCUUCAAUGAGGAGGCCAUCCAAGGCGGGUUCAGCAAAAAGAUAUGGUUGAGCAUCAACCAAAAUUUCAGUGAGGUUGAGUUGCUGAGAAGAGCCGUCAUCGAAGCCGGAGGAGACGCCCAGCCAGCUGGAAAUGCAAAGGCUGCGCUUCAUCGAACCCUCAAGGACGCGUUGAUUGGCCACAAGACCUUACUGGUAAUGGAUGAUGUGUGGGACCAUGGAGCAUGGGAUGGUGUGCUCAAAACACCCUUUGUUAAUGCUGCUGCUUCAGGCAGUCGAGUCCUCAUCACCACUAGAGAUGAAGAAGUCGCUCAAGGGAUGAUAGCCAGACGACCCUACCACCACGUUGACACAUUAUUGCCUGAAGAUGCUUGGUCAUUGCUCAAGAAGCAGGUACUCUCAAGUGAGAUAGAUGAAGACCACAUCAACAUGCUAAAGGAUAUCGGAUUGAAAAUUAUACAAAAAUGUGGUGGUUUACCACUUGCGGUCAAAGUAAUGGGAGGACUCUUGUGUAAAAGAGGAGGCCUACAUCGUGACUGGGAGCAGGUUUUGGAUGAUUCUAAAUGGUCAAUAACUAAAAUGCCUCAAGAGCUCAACUAUGCAGUAUACUUGAGCUAUGAAUAUAUGCCUUCUUAUCUGAAGCAGUGCUUUCUAUACUACUCUCUUCUUCCUAAAAGUAAAAAGUUUAAUCUGAAUCAAGUCGUUGCGCUGUGGAUGAGUGAAGGAUUUAUUCAUGGAAACUUUAGGGAUUUAGAAGAAUUGGGAGAAAAGUACUACAAGGAGUUAGUAUCUAGGAACCUUAUAGAGCCAGAUAAAUCAUAUGUUGAUCUAUGGGUUUGCAGCAUGCAUGAUGUUGUUCGCUCUUUUGCUCAAUAUAUGACUAAAGAUGAAGCACUUGUAGCUCAGGAUGGAGACAAUGAUAUUCUUACUAAACUAAGUUCACAAAAGUUUCUUCGGUUGUCCAUAGAAACCAACCGACUGCAAUCAGGUGAACUUGACUGGAAAUUUCUACAGGAGCAGCAAUCAGUGAGAACAUUAUUCUCAACUAUCCAGAUCAUGAUGAAGCCUGGUGAUUCAAUGGUUACCUUUUCACAUCUGCGAGCCCUAUAUAUAGAAGCUGCAGAUGUGGCUGCAUUGGUUGAAUCAUUGCAUCAACUCAAGCACCUGAGGUAUCUAGCACUAAUAAAUGCUAAUAUAUCUGUACUUCCAGGGAACAUUGGCAAGAUGAAACUAUUGCAAUUUCUUGACCUUUGUGGAUGUGAAAAUUUGGUGAAUCUUCCUGAUAGCAUUGUGAAUCUUGUCCAGCUGAGGUUACUUGAGCUUCCCGGCACAAGUAUGAUACCUAGAGGGUUCAGUGGUCUAACAAUUAUCAGGAGACUAAGUGGGUUUCGAGCCUACAUGGAUGGUGAUUGGUGCAGUUUGGACGAGUUGGGGCCUCUUUCCCAACUCAGACUUAUUGGAUUAGUCGAUUUGGAAAAUGUAUCUGCUGCCUCGUUUGCUGCUAAUGCUAGGCUUGGUGGGAAGAUGCAUCUUAUCGAUCUAUUCUUGUACUGCACUAGCAGACUGGGACAUGAUGGGUUGGUCAAAGAGAAAGAAGGUGUCUCUGAGGAAGAGCAGCGAUGUAUUGAGAAGGUGUUUGAUGAGCUCUGCCCUCCAUCCAGCGUAGAAAAUCUUGAUAUCAAGGGGUAUUUUGGCAAGCAACUCCCGAGGUGGAUGAUAUCCACGUCAACGGUACCCCUCACCAACCUGAAGUAUCUAAUGUUAUCUGACCUGGCUUGUUGCACACAACUUCCCAAUGGGUUGUGCAAGCUCCCCUGCCUGCAUUUACUUCAGGUCAACCGUGCUCCAUGCAUCAGGCAAAUUGGGAAUGGAUUCUUGCAGGAGGCAGCAGCUCCAUUUCCAAGAUUAAACAAGUUGAACUUAAUUGGAAUGGUGGAAUGGGAGGAGUGGGAGUGGGAGGAGAAAGUACAAGCCAUGCCCAGGUUAGAGAACCUCGUGCUCGAUAAUUGCAAACUGUGGCGUGUUCCUCCUGGCCUUGCCUCCAAUGCAAGGGCUUUGAAAGCAUUAUACAUACAGAGGGUCCAUCACCUUAGCUACCUUGAGAGCUUUCCUUCUGUUGUUGAGCUUACAGUGUGUCAAAUCCCUGACCUGGAGAGGAUCACCAACCUCCCCAAUCUGCAAAAGCUUACCAUCACCGAUUGCCCAAAGUUGAAGGUGCUGCAGAGUAUCCCUGCACUCAAGAGGUUGGUCCUGGAGGAUUGUGUCAUGGAAGAACUCCCAGACUACAUGCUAGAUAUAAAGCCAAGGCAUUUGCAGCUGCUCUGCAGGAUAUGGUUGCUAUAUUCAUUAGCCGCAGGACAAUCUGGUCCCGAGUGGGACAAGUUCAGCCAUGUGGAGCAUGUCAAGGCAUAUGCACAUGAUGGAGACAACCAAAGGAAAUGGUACGUGCUAUACACAAGAGACAACUGCAAGUUGGAUUCGAACAUUAGCAGCUCUACCACAUUUGAAGAAACCUUAUCAUCUUCUAUGCUGGAUGCACAAGGAUUUGAGUCUUUGUACAAAAUGAGAAGAAGUACCUUCAGUUAUGUUUGCAGCUUGGUGAGGGUGCCAUUUCUGGAAGAUAUGAUGGCAAGGGAUCACACCUUUUUUGAUGGGAGAGUGCUAUCUUUACAGGAUCGAGUAGCUGUUGCUCUAAGAAUGCUGAACUCUGGUGAGUCACCAGUUACCAUAGGAUCCUCUCUUGGUGUGGACGAGUCAACUCUCUCACUGGUAACUCAGGUAUUUCUCAAGGCUAUGUGGGAGCGAGCAAUGCACCACUGCAGCUGGCCUGGCUCCGCUAAAAUGCAGAAGCUCAAGUGCAAGUUUGACAAGAUCCAUGGUCUGCCAAACUGCUGUGGUGUUUUACAUACAGCUCACAUCACGGUUGGGUCAACAAAUUGUGAUGGCAAGGAGAAUGACGGCAUCCUAGUGCAGGCCAUCGUUGAUGCAGUUAUGAGGUUCACAGACAUUUGGUGGAACUUGACAGGCAGUAUGAACAAAUCGAACAUUUUGCGUGACUCUGAGCUCCUUGAGAAGUGUGAGAAUGGUGCUUGGCUUAAUGGCAGUAUGUUGAGGUUAUCAGAUGGCUCGGAUGUCGGAGAAUACAUAAUUGGUAAUGCAGGAUACACUCUUCGUCCCUGGCUCCUCACACCUUACCAGUUGGAGAAUGACCUCUCACUCUCAGACUCCAAAGCAGAGUUCAACAGGAGGCACACUGCAGCUACAGUCGUCACGCUGAGGGCAUUGGCAAGGUUGAAAGACACGUGGAAGUGCCUGCAGGGAGAAGGGUGGCAUCCAAGUAAUAAAGAUGAAAUGUGCGACACAAUCGGCACGUGCUGCGCGUUGCAUAACAUAGUGAUAGACAUGGAGGAGGAAGGUGCAGGCAUGCCGAGCCAUCAGCGGGAGAAUUACAUCAGGCAAGUACGGCAAGUAGCAGAUGAGGACGCUGUCAGAAUGAGGGAUAUAUUGUCCCAGCACUUGAUUGAAUCUGGAGUCCACACAAAGGCUGCAGAGGAGGAACAAGAAGCACUAGUUGCAUCCAGAUCAGGAGAUAAAAAACAAGGAACAAGAAGCACACCAACGGCAGACAACACCUCAAGGAAAGGAGCACGGUAACUGGCGACAUGAGAUCGGACUGAAUUAAUUUGGUAUUUUUAACUUCUCUGCUAUAAAUUGUGCUUCAGGCCGCAGUUCUCUUAGUUCCUUCUUGCGCUAUGAUGCUAAUCAAUUAACGUCCCUCGAAGCCAUUAAAUCCCUCGGCCCUGGCCCCUGGGUACGGAGCCAAAUUGAUGCUGCAAAGAAUUAAGACCGGGAUCAGCAAAAAGAAAAAUCUUAGGUUUUCACAUGUAGUAUUUGGCGAAGACGAGCGUCGUGCAUUGCAUAUUACUAGUGGCUUGCAUGCUGAUGUCGCUUGGGUGGAAGAAGAGGAGGGAACUUCAGAACCCCUGGGAUGCACAUGAGGAUGAUGCAGCCUCCUCAUGAAGCCAAGAACAUAUCAUCAUUCUACUGUUUGUUGCUGAAGUCUAGAGCUGCACCGAACGGCCAAAGUGGUCAGAGAGCAUGUACUUGGGAAGCUUCUGCUAGGUCCUCAGGUCGGUGGUCUUGUGAGGAUAACAACAGCGUAUGAUCAUUCUACUGCUUGUUUAAUAGUCACGGACCGAUGCUAUUCUUACAUACUAGUACAAGCUUUACAAAAAUCCUACGUGCUAGUUCAAAUUUAAUGGCAGUUAUUUCCAUGUUUUGUUCUAGGCAUUUUGUAGGAGCAGUAUGCUCACAAUACGUAAACAUUUUGUAGGAGUAGUCUGUAGGAAUAGGAUUUCUGAUAGUCACCGGCUCACCGCCGUUGCUUCAUAGUGGAAUCUCUACAAAGACUUACAUUUAGGAAUGGAGGGAGUAGAUUGUAAUGAUGGUUUUUUA